Culex quinquefasciatus (southern house mosquito) is the source of this 298-nucleotide long non-coding RNA. RefSeq lists it as uncharacterized. NCBI's taxonomy places the organism in Eukaryota, Metazoa, Arthropoda, Insecta, Diptera, Culicidae. The transcript is spliced from 2 exons. The record is from RefSeq and is a predicted model, not a curated record.
GUACGACGACGACGACGUCGGAGGCGGCGCGGACUCCUCAAAUACAGUCAAACCCCAAUGGCCGAGCGGGCGGGGGUCUACGUCAUCGGGCGGUUCAGCUGUACCCACUGCGAUAGAGCGAUUGAAGUUCCGGCGAAUUCGGCGUGGCGUAGGUUAUCUCUCGUAGUUCUCGCGGGCUGAGUCUGGCUGCAAGAACGCGGAAAUUUGGUGUUGCUUUUGGACGAGGCCUGAAAAAACAAGAUGCUUGUAGGAAUGAUGAUGAUAUUAAUAAAUUAACUAGUUUAAUCUUCUGCACCAA